UUGUAGUAUUAAUUUUUUUCUUUUGGUAGUGAAACACAAAUCCAACUUUGCUCAAUGCAAAUUCUUUUUUUAUGAUGUGAAUUUGAUUUCUUAACAAUUUGAGUUCAUAAUCUGAGUAUUUUCUUACUAACCUAGACGGUUUUUGUAGUCAAAUUGCGGGUUGUUUUUUGUGAACCAUUUUUGAUUCAACUUAAAUGCGUUUUCCUAAAUAAUAUUAUUAAAAAACCUCCAUUGAAACCCUUUCAUUCUAAACGCGAAAAUCCUAUUUUAUUGGUGUUUUGUACAUUAUUAUUACAAGCACACGAUAACAAAGAAACGAACUGCAGGUUUAAAUGUAAAUCAUGUGAAAAUACAAAAAUCAUUUGGUACG
Molecule: non-coding RNA, 370 nt
Organism: Cinara cedri
Lineage: Eukaryota; Metazoa; Arthropoda; Insecta; Hemiptera; Aphididae
Source: the annotation of a GenBank genome assembly